GAUGAACGCUAGCGACAGGCUUAACACAUGCAAGUCGAGGGGCAGCGGGGAGAGUAGCAAUACAAUCUGCCGGCGACCGGCGCACGGGUGAGUAACGCGUAUGCAACCUACCUAUCAGAGGGGGAUAGCCCAUCGAAAGAUGGAUUAAUACCGCAUAAAACAGGGGCUCCGCAUGGAGAUAUUUGUUAAAGAAAUUCGCUGAUAGAUGGGCACGCGUUCCAUUAGUUAGUUGGUAGGGUAACGGCCUACCAAGACAUCGAUGGAUAGGGGUUCUUAGAGGAAGGUCCGCCACACGGGUACUGAGACACGAACCAGACUCCUACGGGAGGCAGCAGUGAGGAAUAUUGGUCAAUGGGCGAGAGCCUGAACCAGCCAAGUCGCGUGAAGGAUGACUGCCCUAUGGGUUGUAAACUUCUUUUAUAUGGGAAUAAAAAGCACUACGUGUAGUGUAUUGCAUGUACCAUUAUGAAUAAGCAUCGGCUAACUCCGUGCCAGCCGCCGCGGUAA
Molecule: ribosomal RNA, 507 nt
Filed under: uncultured bacterium
Lineage: Bacteria
Description: partial 16S ribosomal RNA
Rfam family: Bacterial small subunit ribosomal RNA
Source: RNAcentral